CGCCAGACUCCUACGGGAGGCAGCAGUGGGGAAUAUUGCACAAUGGGGGAAACCCUGAUGCAGCGACGCCGCGUGAGUGAAGAAGUAUUUCGGUAUGUAAAGCUCUAUCAGCAGGGAAGAAAAUGACGGUACCUGACUAAGAAGCCCCGGCUAACUACGUGCCAGCAGCCGCGGUAAUACGUAGGGGGCAAGCGUUAUCCGGAUUUACUGGGUGUAAAGGGAGCGUAGGCGGCAUGGCAAGUCAGAUGUGAAAGCCCGGGGCUCAACCCCGGGACUGCAUUUGAAACUGUCAGGCUGGAGUGCAGGAGGGGUAAGUGGAAUUCCUAGUGUAGCGGUGAAAUGCGUAGAUAUUAGGAGGAACACCAGUGGCGAAGGCGGCUUACUGGACUGUAACUGACGUUGAGGCUCGAAAGCGUGGGGAGCAAACAGGAUUAGAUACCCGCGUAGG
RNAcentral lists this ribosomal RNA (448 nucleotides) under uncultured bacterium. RNAcentral describes it as "bacterial SSU rRNA". It matches the Rfam family "Bacterial small subunit ribosomal RNA", at positions 329 to 794 of the family's 1533-position model. The record is from RNAcentral.